UGAAUUGUCAUCAUUCUAGUACCUUAGUAGUGGUGUGUUAUUAGUAGAACUAUCAUCCUGGUACGUGAUGUCUAUCGAGAAAACAAGCUACAUUUAAGAGUCCCUUCCUCGGUUUGCCUUGGCAUUAGUAAGUUGAUUGAGAAAUAGAGGUCUGCACACAGUUUUGCCGACUCGUUUCUUUCCUUUCUGCAUACUCCUAUAUACUCUGCAGUUCAUUUACUUCUUUAUCAAUGUUUUUAUCCAUAUAUAUGCCAUCACAGUCAAAA
This 266-nucleotide long non-coding RNA is filed under the name Hordeum vulgare. Its description in RNAcentral is "long non-coding RNA (HVUL_LNC008280)". The record is from RNAcentral. Lineage: Eukaryota; Viridiplantae; Streptophyta; Magnoliopsida; Poales; Poaceae.